UACGUAGGGGCCUAGCGUUGUCCGGAUUUAUUGGGCGUAAAGAGCUCGUAGGCGGUUUGGUGAGUCGGGUGUGAAAUCUCCACGCUCAACGUGGAGGGGCCACCCGAUACUGCCAUGACUAGAGUCCGGUAGGGGAGAAUGGAAUUCCCGGUGUAGCGGUGAAAUGCGCAGAUAUCGGGAAGAACACCCGUGGCGAAGGCGGUUCUCUGGGACGGUACUGACGCUGAGACGCGAAAGCGUGGGGAGCGAACCGG
This 254-nucleotide ribosomal RNA is filed under the name uncultured bacterium. RNAcentral describes it as "partial 16S ribosomal RNA". It matches the Rfam family "Bacterial small subunit ribosomal RNA", at positions 524 to 776 of the family's 1533-position model. The record is from RNAcentral.